This is a long non-coding RNA of Carassius gibelio (silver crucian carp), 882 nucleotides long. RefSeq lists it as uncharacterized. The transcript has 5 exons. The record is from RefSeq and is a predicted model, not a curated record. NCBI's taxonomy places the organism in Eukaryota, Metazoa, Chordata, Actinopteri, Cypriniformes, Cyprinidae.
UUUCGAGAAGGGUCUGGCUGCAGACCAUGGGCGAGUGGAGCUCCACUCUCAAACCGGAAAUACGUCACCUCCACUUGAAAACAUCAAGAUGGCGUCGCGGGGAGUACUUCAAACUUAAACUCAGGGAUAGGAUUGGCAUAGAAGAUGCAGCACUCUUUACAUUUUAAAUAUCAAAUGUAUAUCAAGUGUUAUCCAUCCUGAUAACACCUCCACAAAUAGAGACUGGAACUUCUGAGCACCAUCACCUUGUCUGCUAUGGGACUGUCAUAGGAGAAUGAUGCAGUACUUUUCUGUGUUGAAUUUACCUAACGUCAGCACACAGACUUAGUAUUGUUCCAGUUUUGCUGUGCUCAUGUCUUCUUUGUGUCCCCAGCCCAGCAAUCAGAUGCAUCAGAACAACAAAGCACAACUGUGGUGGCCCAGGCACCUUCAGCAACAAAGAUUUAACAACACUGUCAGUCAGGAGCAUAUUUAACAGGAGCCACACUCAACUGGCUUGAUGGUGACUUCAGUGCAGUGAAGAUAUUUAAAGAGACACUAUCUAAAGUACAGAAAGCCUUACAUCAUCUCUAGGUGCAGUCGCCUACAGUGCAGCCAGCUUCACAAAGACUGUGGGGCUGGUCACCAGGAAAAUGGCCAACAAGGAGUGCUUUUGGGGUUUUACUCCUCAGAUGACCACCCUGGCUACUGUAGCUGGGAUUGCUUCACAGACAAUGGAGGUCUUGAAGAGUAAAGUGUGCGUGCAUGUGAACACAUUGUGUUAUUACAGUAACAAUUAUGGUCACUUGCAGUUCAUGUGUUUUCAAUGUAGUGUAAGAUGUGUUAAUUAUUAUUAUUACUCAAAAACCAUUAAAACUUCUAAAUUGUGGAAGUUAUUCUUCA